RNAcentral lists this unclassified non-coding RNA (238 nucleotides) under plant metagenome. RNAcentral's name for it is "partial contains small subunit ribosomal RNA and internal transcribed spacer 1". The stretch from base 1 to 46 matches the Rfam family "Eukaryotic small subunit ribosomal RNA", at positions 1786 to 1831 of the family's 1831-position model. The record is from RNAcentral.
AAGUCGUAACAAGGUUUCCGUAGGUGAACCUGCGGAAGGAUCAUUACCGAGUUAGGGUCUAUUCAGGCCCGACCUCCAACCCUGUGUUUACAUUACCAUGUUGCUUUGGCGGGCCCGCUCUUCGGGGCCGCCGGGGGUUUUUAUCACCCCUGGCCCGCUGCCCGCCCGGCUGGGCCUUAUUCAAAUUUCAUUUUUUAACCUUUGUGUAUGUCUGAAGUCUAAAUAUAAAUCGUUAAAA